Prosopis cineraria is the source of this 846-nucleotide long non-coding RNA. RefSeq lists it as uncharacterized. The record is from RefSeq and is a predicted model, not a curated record. The transcript is spliced from 2 exons. NCBI's taxonomy places the organism in Eukaryota, Viridiplantae, Streptophyta, Magnoliopsida, Fabales, Fabaceae.
UCGAGAGGCUCCUUUUCGUCAUCCAUUCCGCCGCCAGUAGCUGUGGGUGCGCCAGAAUCUCAUUCCUUCGUUUGCAUCGAGUGGGUGUGUUCCCUUCCUUCCCCUCCACCUUCUCUGCCAUGGUUGCCGACCCAGUAUGAGUGUGGACCAGAGAAAGAUUGAGUCUUCGGUCCUUUGUUCUUCUCUGUCCAUUUCUUUUGUUCGUCGUCGGAAUGCACGAGUGGAGCUAGGCCAGCCGUUGAGUCCGUUGCUGGUGUUCGUGAUCGCUGUGAAACUGCCGCUAUCAAGGCCAAACUCGCAAACUCGUCCGCUCCCUUGUUCAUCCAUUGGUCUUGUCUUCAUGUAACGAUGAUGCCUGGAUCUCCUUGUUCCUCUGUUUCUCGUUGACAGAAUCCUCAUCUCCUCCCUUUGUUCGAGCUGCCAUGGUUUAUAGCGUCAGGAGAAUGGCGUUCAAAUCAUCAGAGAUGGCUGCUGGUGUGGCAUUGGAAGCUGGGGUCGUGUGAUUGUCUGAAGCUGCCGUCUUUGCCAUCGCGUCAUCGGUAGCAGAAGUUGUUCUCCAGGCAUCUGGUUCGCGGCGCCUGGGGAAGAAGGGAAUGGGUUACAUGAAUCAGAAACUGGGUCCUAAGGAUCCGGUUUCAUCCUGAUUUAAAAAAAGGUUUUGUAAAUUGCAUUCUUUAGUCCUAGAUUACAAUUACCUCCUUGGGCGCAUAAUUUCUACAAUUCUUACACUCACCCCAGGAAAUUCCUCAAAAUUGUAUCUACGUCCCUUAACUUUCAGAAUUGCGUUUUGUACCCAAAACUCUUCCAGAAUUAUCAAUUUACCCCUCGGCCCCUUUCAAGAUUCCA